GCUUACGCCCAGCAUGAGAAUGCCUGAUUUCAUCUGAUCUCACAAGUUAAGCAGGGGUGGGAAUACCAGGUGCUGUAAGCU
This 81-nucleotide ribosomal RNA is filed under the name Amphilophus citrinellus (Midas cichlid). Lineage: Eukaryota; Metazoa; Chordata; Actinopteri; Cichliformes; Cichlidae. The record is from RNAcentral.